GCGGGCGUGGCGGAAUGGUAGACGCAACGGACUUAAAAUCCGUUUCCCUUCGGGGAGUGCAGGUUCAAGUCCUGCCGCCCGCACCA
RNAcentral lists this transfer RNA (86 nucleotides) under Alphaproteobacteria bacterium. RNAcentral's name for it is "tRNA-Leu". It matches the Rfam family "tRNA". Rfam says of the family: Transfer RNA (tRNA) molecules are approximately 80 nucleotides in length. The record is from RNAcentral. Lineage: Bacteria; Pseudomonadati; Pseudomonadota; Alphaproteobacteria.